UUCUUUAUUUUAGACAGACCUUGAAGUUAUAUAAGAACAACUGACCUGUUUCAGAUGAACAAGAUAUAAAAUAAUAACAUUAAUACAUUUUCCUGAAAUCUUUAAAGUUUUAUAAAUUGCCCAUGGAGGUUUGUGAACCAAGGUCACUCUGUGUCUUUUCAUUCUUUUAAUUAUCUAGUUCCAGCCUGAUACACUAGCCUUGCUAAUUGGACACAGAGAAAUCCCUUAUCAGUGAAGUUAGAAAAGGACCUAUGAAAAAAGUGUGGGAGACUGCUGUAAAUCAAAGAAGAGGAACAGAACAGAAGGAAAGCCAAUCAACUGUACCCCUCCGAGCUGUGAGUUUAUAGGAAAAGCUGAGCUUCGUUGGAUGGAGGAAAAAGUGGCCAGCAGGGGUCAUAAGAAAAGAACAUAUCCAUGAUGAGAAAAAAAACAAGUGAAUGGUACAUUAGUAAUGGGCAAGAAAACCUCCAGAAGGGAUUGACUUUGUCACUGCAAAUACGCUUACUGCAAUACAAACCUGGAUAAAUCAGAGUAUCUCAAAGCAGCAAGAAUAAGCAUUCAAGAUAAUAGUUUUCUUUAUGGAUCUUCUCUUAGCAGUACAGCAGAUGAAGUAACAAGGAAUCUACCCAGCAGGUGAAUUUCUAUUAAAGCCUUUCUGUGUCUUGGCAGUGGCUCACAGCAUUGACAUUCUUUCACAAAACACUUAGUAUCAAGGAAUCAGCAUUUUUCUAGUGACAAGUCACUUAAUAAAAUUCCUGACGUUGUCCA
RNAcentral lists this long non-coding RNA (768 nucleotides) under Parus major (Great Tit). Its description in RNAcentral is "lncRNA (ENSPMJG00000001420.1)". The record is from RNAcentral. Lineage: Eukaryota; Metazoa; Chordata; Aves; Passeriformes; Paridae.